GCUGGGCACGGUGGCGUGUGCCUGUAGCCCCAGCUACUUGGGAGGCUGAGGCUGGAGGAUCGCUUGAGUCCAGGAGUUCUGGGCUAUAGUGUGCUAUGCCAGUCAUGUGUCCUCAUUAAGUUCAGCAUCAAUAUGGUGACCUCCCGGGAGUGGGGGACCACCAGGUUGCCUAACAAGGGGUGAAUCGGCCCAGGUCGGAAACAGAGCAGGUCAAAACUCCCGUGCUGGUCAGUAGUGGGGAUUGUGCCUGUGAAUAGAUACUGCACCCCAGCCUGGGCAACAUAGCAAGAUGCCUCU
Molecule: signal recognition particle RNA, 297 nt
Filed under: Saimiri boliviensis boliviensis (Bolivian squirrel monkey)
Lineage: Eukaryota; Metazoa; Chordata; Mammalia; Primates; Cebidae
Description: Metazoan signal recognition particle RNA (ENSSBOG00000012603.1)
Rfam family: Metazoan signal recognition particle RNA
About the family: The signal recognition particle (SRP) is a universally conserved ribonucleoprotein. It is involved in the co-translational targeting of proteins to membranes.
Source: RNAcentral